This 497-nucleotide ribosomal RNA is filed under the name uncultured bacterium. RNAcentral's name for it is "partial 16S ribosomal RNA". It matches the Rfam family "Bacterial small subunit ribosomal RNA", at positions 28 to 507 of the family's 1533-position model. The record is from RNAcentral.
GAUGAACGCUGGCGGCGUGCCUAAUACAUGCAAGUCGAGCGAACGGACGAGAAGCUUGCUUCCUUGCUGUUAGCGGCGGACGGGCGAGUAACACGUGGAUAACCUACCUAUAAGACUGGGAUAACUUCGGGAAACCGGAGCUAAUACUGGCUAAUAUUUUCAACCGCAUGGUUCAAAAGUGAAAGACGGUCUUGCUGUCACUUAUAGCUGGAUCCGCGCUGCAUUAGCUAGUUGGUAAGGUAACGGCCUACCAAGGCAACGAUGCAUAGCCGACCUGAGAGGGUGAUCGGCCACACUGGAACUGAGACACGGUCCAGACUCCUACGGGAGGCAGCAGUAGGGAAUCUUCCGCAAUGGGCGAAAGCCUGACGGAGCAACGCCGCGUGAGUGAUGAAGGUCUUCGGAUCGUAAAACUCUGUUAUUAGGGAAGAACAUAUGUGUAAGUAACUGUGCACGUCUUGACGGUACCUAAUCAGAAAGCCACGGCUAACUACGUG